GUGCUCACUUCGGCAGCACAUAUACUAAAUUUGGAACGAUAGAGAGGAUAUCAUGGCCCCUGCACAAGGAUGACAUGCAAGUUCAUGAAGCAUUCUGUAUUUUU
This is a small nuclear RNA of Nycticebus coucang (slow loris), 104 nucleotides long. The record is from RefSeq and is a predicted model, not a curated record. NCBI's taxonomy places the organism in Eukaryota, Metazoa, Chordata, Mammalia, Primates, Lorisidae.